This is a small nuclear RNA of Dama dama (fallow deer), 163 nucleotides long. RefSeq annotates it as U1 spliceosomal RNA. The record is from RefSeq and is a predicted model, not a curated record. The transcript has a single exon. Lineage: Eukaryota; Metazoa; Chordata; Mammalia; Artiodactyla; Cervidae.
AUACUUACCUGGCAGAGGAGACACCAUUAUCAAGAAGGUGGUUCUCCCAGGGCGAGGCUCACCCAUUGCACUCCGGUGUGUUGACCUCUGCGAUUUCCUCAAAUAGGGGAAACUCGACUGUGUAACUUAUGGUAGUGGGGGACUGCCGGCGCGCUUUCCCUUG